This is an RNA transcript of Oryzias latipes (Japanese medaka), 1827 nucleotides long. RefSeq lists it as uncharacterized. The record is from RefSeq and is a predicted model, not a curated record. Lineage: Eukaryota; Metazoa; Chordata; Actinopteri; Beloniformes; Adrianichthyidae.
CCGACUCCACUUCCUCAAAGUUGGAGCUCUGUACGAGAACUGGUUCUAUCCGGUUAGCAAGGACCGAAUUCUGUUCACGAAACGAUUCUGGAUUGAAUAAUUUGAUAGAAUUUACAUAGAUACGUUUAACGUUUUUAAAGGAAGGUCUUUUGGUGAAUAAAAGAAAGAUGGCGCUUGGUAAAAGCAGGUUUAUUCGGUGGCGUCGGUGGGGCUUCGUCUCGACUGGUUCUCUCGUGUGUGGGCCUUUGAAGUGGAACUACGGUGGAAAACCUGGAAAACGUCUUUUCUUCGACCAACGUCUGGAUGGUUUGGAGCUUUUCUACAGUCCUGCUCUUUCAGUUCUGGAUCACCGUCAGACUUCCUCCAUCUUGCUGCUGUUUUGCUUUAGCUGGGUGUGUCUCGUGAUUAAAGACAUACUCUUCUUGAAGAGAACCUUUGCUGUUCCCGCUGAACCGGACUAAAACGUCAACUCAACUGUUCUUUGCUGAAUAUAUUUUGGGAUCAUAAAAUCUCAGUGGAGGAAACUGAAGAUGUGGAGGACGAUGUUUUUCCUGCUGGCAGCUUUUCUCUGCUUCUCUACAGUAAACGGAUCGUCUCUCAGAAUACCUGACUACUGGACUUGUUACAAAUCAACUGACCCAGCCGCCCUGAAUGCCUCGCUGCUGUACGACGAUCAUUCAGCCAGCGGGGAGCUCUGGAAACGAGACGACCUACAGAAACCUCUCCCCCCUUGCUCUGAUAUCAUAGAUGCUUUGUUCAAUGGCCCAUGUGAGGUCUGCAGAGGCGAGCAGGUCUUUGCUGUUUGUCGAAACCUGUCUGAAAGUGUGGAUCUGCGGAUGGAGGGUUCAUCAAACAUCCAGAUUUCCAGAUGUGUCUCAGUGCAGACACUCUUCCACUAGACCACUGAGCAGGAAGUAGAAGAGCAGAUCCCCCUCCCCUCAAAGAAAGAACAGUCAGACAGGAAGUGAACAAACUGAGGCUUCCAACAGGAAAACCUGAUGAGACACAAAGAGUCACUUGAACAUAAAGUAACAGAAACUUUCUGCUUGGCAGCAAAGCUUUGACACUAAAGACCUUUAAGGCAAAGCGGUGUGACGCCGUUCUCAUGAAGGAAUUCUGGUUUAGAUACCAGAAGCUGCUCCUCCAAGACAAACCAGCAGUAACUGACAUUUUACUCUUUAACAUGAAGAACGGGACUCCAACUGUUUGUUUUGUUGUUUUUUGCAGAGUGUGAUCAGCUGAUCCAGAAAGCUGAAACUCCAACCGCUGCUCCGACUGCUGCUCCGACUGCUGAUCCGACUACUGCUUUGACUGCUGUCUCCAUCAUCAUCAUCAUUUCUUUAAUAGUUGGCUUAGCAGUUUACUUCAAAAACUGCAGGAAAAGACGAUCAGAAAACAAACAAGACCCAGAAGCUGCUGCCAUGAAACCUCUGAACGGUGGACAGCCCACAGAUGUGAUGACAGUGGAUGAAAUCCCAAAUGGACGUGGUUGAUGACUACUGUUUGAGGGAUCUGUUGGGUUUCACACUUCACACCUCUUAAAAGUCUUUGAGUGUUAUUUUCCCCCCGUUAAAUUAAAAAACACCUUUGACUCUCUGUCGUGUUCGACAGCUCAGAAAAAGCUCCUCCUUUAUAGAGAUUAAAUUUGUACUCAAAGUGAAAAGAAUUUGUUUGGUGGUGAGCAACCCAUUAGGUCAAUCAAAGACUGAGUGAACACGUCUAAAGAUUCACUCCAAACAAAAACCUGCUUUGUGUUUUUAACAUGUUCUUGUAGCUUUUUUCUCAUGAUGGACAACAUAAAUAAAGAGAAUAAAGAUAUGAACUGCA